This 545-nucleotide long non-coding RNA is filed under the name Homo sapiens (human). RNAcentral describes it as "HSALNT0338215". The record is from RNAcentral. Lineage: Eukaryota; Metazoa; Chordata; Mammalia; Primates; Hominidae.
AGAAUCUGGCCUCUAAGGUCCUUAUGAAGGUGUACUCCUUAAGAACGCAAGCAGCAAUGCCACUUCCAUCUUGAGGAAGUGUAAUGAGGGAACCAGCAAUGCUGGUUUCAGUGUCUCAGUUUGGCUGGAAAGGAUUUAAUCCUGACGCUGCAACAUUAACUUUCUGAGCAUAUGCUCUGUCCCCGGGGAAGACGACAGUCAAGGGAAUCUUGAACUUCUUGGAAAAUAAGAAAAUUAAGGGCUUCUUUUAAAAGGCCAACUCCAAAGCACUGGUUAAUAGUUAUAAAAAUGUUUCACAGUGCUCCAUGUCGGCUUCCCCCUGAAAAUCCAUGAUAAAGAUUGAGCGUGGUUGAAAGGCUUGUCAUGCGCAUGGGAGUGGCAUAGUGAGAUCCUGGCAGGAGCACUGUUCACAAUAGCAAAGACUUGGAAUCAACCCAGAUGCCCAUCAUUGAUAGACUGGAUAAAGAAAAUGUGGUCCAUAUAUAUCAUGGAAUACUAUGCAACCAUAAAAAGGAACAAGACCAUAUCCUUUGCAGGGACAUGGA